AUCCAACGUGGCUGAGCUGACAUGGCACGCCAUGUGGCAAAUGGUAUGGCAUGGCACAACCAUUGACAUGAGAGCCACAUAGGCUUUGACGUGGCAUCUGACAUUUUUAGUGGGCCGAUCCCUUCAUAUCAGCCCAUUAUUUCUGGCAUGCGGCAUUUCGAAUCUAGCCCUUUUACAACAAAUUAAGCAUAGUUGUUAUUGGACCAUUGACAUUUUCUUCCUUUUUUAGGUUUUCUACAAAUAGUACGCUCGUCUAGGCAAUCUCUUGCCUCUUUUCUUUUAACUGUGAGCAAAAUGUAACAACAUAAAAAUGAGAGUAAUUGAUUGCUCCAGCAUUUCAUUCACCUACAACCAUCACAUAACAUUAGAACAUGUAACAUUAGAUUACAAAUGAUACAUGCAAUACAUGCUGAUCACAACACGAUCAAACCACCACAUGUCACCUACCCCACGUACGAAUUAGAAUAACUUGAUCCUAACUGAAAUUUCAUGCGCGAGCUGCUUAUGAUUAACCUAGGACUUGUUGUGUUCUACACCAAGGCUUUUAUCUUCAGAACUGCAACAACAAAAUACAAGUAAUAACUAGCAAGUGGAAACACAUAUACUACCAUUUGUCUUAAGAUUGAACAACAUACCAUCAUGUGCUCCGUUUUAAUACAUAAAAUAAAAACAUGUAAGGCAGAGCAUGAAGUGCCUCUGUUUUAAUAUAUCAAAUAAAAACAUGUAAAUCAUUUGUAAGAAUCCAAAUAAAUACACACUUUGCCAAGAUUAUUCCCAAAUAAACCACACUUUGUGCAAGCACACUGGUAUGAACAUAAACAUUUAACAUGGCGUCUAUGCAAUGUGCCACGAAUAUUGCACAUCAUGUGGCAUUAAUACGAAGGUGACAGGGAUAGCAUGUGGCAUCAAUACGAAGAUGACAUGGAUAGCAUGCAGGAAUGAAAAUUGAACAUCUGAUGAGACUAAAGUCUAAAACAAAGAUGCAGGGUACGUACUAAACAAAGUGGCAAACACAUGAAACACAACACACGAUGUCAAAACGAGAAUUUGGUGGUCACUAACAAAGUAAAUGUACCAAAGGCAUUAAUAAACAUAGAGCAAAAGAAAUAACUGAAGAUUAAACGACCUAUAUCAUGUACAUAAUACCACCAUAUAUCACAAAAAUCCAAAUCCAUAGAAACAUCAUAUGAACAUAUACACAAUAGUUAACCACAAGUCCACAACUACAAUACCAGCAGCCAUGAAUAAUAGCAUCCCAAAACACCAUGGCCUAAGAAUCAUAUAGUAUAGGAGUUGAACAAAUCAAAGACUCACUCGAUGGAAAGAUCAAAGACUUGAUUGGUGGAUAGAUUGAAGUCUUCACCUUUUGGGAACAAGAUGUUCACCUCGCAUGAAUUGGCAGUACAUAUAUAAGCAUCACACAAACAUCUAUAAAUCAGAUUAUGCAUGUAACUUGUUUUCAAUUACUUAUAAUUUAACAUGUUAAUAGAGAAGUUGCAGGAGGAACUGAAGAAAUUUUUGGAUUUGUCUAGUACAAAUCCAGUAAAAGCAUAAAAUCAGGAAAAGAAAUGCAUGUCCUUGUAAGAUUUAUCCCAGUAAUAGCUAUAGUGCAUAAUAUCACCAUGACUAUCCAUGGGAUUUUUAUGGAAGCAUAGGGUCAGCCUUUCUGACAAAAUUAGAAUAGUAGAACUUUUCAUGAAAGCACUACUGAUUAUCAAUGUCCCUUUUAUUUUCUAUCCUAGCAAAAAAAAUUGGUAGGUGUUUGCAAAGGAUAAACAUUUGUAAUGAUUUUCUAUUUCAAGUUUUAUGUGUGAACCAUAUAAAUUACUAUAUUCCAUGGAUCAUUGAUACACAACAAGCAUAUGAUCUAAUAACUUCGAGUGAAAUCACAUACAACAAGCAUAUAGAUAACACAUAGUCCACAACUGAACUGUUAUACUCUACUAUAGAUCUACAAUAAAACAAGCCUAUGCUCUAGUCUCACUACAAACUCUCGAAACACUUCAAACUAAUGCAACUACGACAUCAAUCUAUAAUUACACAAUAUGUACUGUACAUUGAUAUCCCACACCAUACCAUGUCAACCUUUUAAUGGUGUCGGUGCAAGAAUAAAGAACGUUAGCACCAGCACAUUUUUUACAGAAAAUAUCUCAGUUUACAGAAUGUAUAACAUUUCAGAAAGAAAAGACAUUCAACAAAGGCAUGCCAUUAAGCUCCAACACUACUUAACAGGUACUAAUGAUGAAAGCAUACAAGUAUCAUUUACCAAAAUAGUACAUGCUUAUUUAUAACCAGGGUAGUGUUGGGGGAAGUCGACAUAGGCAAAUAUAUAUCUCCUAGUAAAAGUCAUCGAUGGGAGCAACAGUAGUAGGGUAAAGGACGUUGAGGGUUUCAGUCACCAUAAGUAACGAGGGAUGCCUUUUUUAUAUUAGCAACCAUCAAUAGCUAAGCCUUGUUUCUUAACUUUAAGCACUGGUAACCUACAUAUCGAACAGAAUAACCAGCUUGUACCGGAAUCAGUGUGUAGAAAAUUGUUAAAAAAUGUGUGUUUGCAACUCAGUAUAAGAUAUAGAUGGUGUGUUAGUAGUGGUUGACAAGAUAGGAUUUCAAAGAAGCGAGUGACAACUGCUCCAUGCUUUGCUAAUUAGGAAGUGAUUACAUUCAAAGUUUGCAUGCAUGGUCGUUUCUGGAGAUUUACCUGUGGAUUCUCAGAAAGACAACUGAAGUGAGUCAAUCCAUCAAGGCUAACCUGCAAUCAAUGCAAGAACCAGAUUUAUAGUUGUGCCUGAGUAGCAUUGUUUCAGUAAAAGCACCUACACAGGUGUAACUUAGUUGCAUAAAAUAUUGAUUGCAGGAAAAUAGUAACAUUUCUAAUCCUGCAAUCCCCGAAUAAUAUGUUGAAGUGCUACUGGUGGCACGCUGCUGAAAAAGGUCAACAAUACCAUUAUUAUUCAAGAAAAUAGAGAAAUCGAUGACACUCUUUGAAGUCUAAUCUACAUGACAUGAGGAGUCUAUGAAUGCAAAAAUCUGAAUGAAGUAUACUCUGCAAUGUCAUCUAAAAUAUGAAGAGGAUUGUAAUAUUGACAUAUUUGCAAAUCUGCAGCCCAACAAUAACAUACAACAUAGAACUGCAUUACAAUUUGAAAGCACACACAUAACCUGAAAAUGACUCAAAAGAGCAUACUAUGUACGCUCAGUUGUUCAGCCAAUUCUUUUUGCCGGUGAUCACUAAUUUAUUUACUAUCAACAAAAAACAUUGGUCAUAGUAAAGUAAAAUUAAGCAUACAAGAGGGGAAAAUUAAUAUAUGAACACAUCAUUAAUGGAUACAAUUAGGCUAGUUGCUAAGUUGUUGUCCGAUGUUAAAGUAUCAUAUCUUAUUUACCUAGGGGGAGUUACAUAAAAUAAGUAUCUUUGGUAUUGAAUUCAUGGUUAAAACAAUCAGAAAUUUAUGUCAUUCACAACAGAUUUGGAGAUGGCGAAAAUGAAUGAUCAAGACCUUAUUUCACGGGCAUAACACCACAUUUAAUAAUAUUUAUAUCAAAAAUCCAAAAUAGAUGUAUAUUCUGCAAUGGGAAUUAAUGUUGUACAACGAGUCAAAGUAGCAAACCUUUGUUUAUACAAUCCAAAACAGAUUAAGUACAUAACUAGUAUGCUGGUGGCGUGUAGACAUAUAAUUACUAGUUUGGUCACUUUCCUUUGGUUUAUAUAGGUAUAUAUUGCUAGGAAUCCGCUAGUGCAUGAUCAUACACCACCACAUCAAACACAUCACCAUGCCACACCCGUAAGAACGCUCACCACAAGGAAGUAAGAAGAGAGCAGGGGAGUCAAAAGUACUCACAUGCCAAAUUCAACCGAGAACGUUGGAUCAGCAGAAUUUGGAUUGUGUGGUGGAGACCCUGUAGUCUUGGUAAGUCAGUGUGGCGACUUCGCUAGCAGCGGUGCAACAUCAUGGUUUUCGUGCAUCGGACUAGUUCUCCCACCACCACAUCUAGUUCGGGACAAACUGCCAUGCAUGCAUACACGAGGACACGGGGAACCAGAUUGGUAAAUCAGAUUAAUGGAUAUUAUAAUAUACUAAGAGAGAGGGGUAAAACUUUGGCCAUUAGCGACCAGAUCUGGCCGAGCCAUGUUCGGGAAGGAGAUAGUAGUGCGUCGCGUUGUACCACUGUUCUCCACUCGAACCUGACCGCGACGACGUCCUGCGCUGCGAAUUGCCCAAGACGCGCCCUAUCGUCGACCUGUAGGGCAAAGACUUAACGUCAUCGACAUGUGGUGGAGGACCUAGGCGCCGCCGCGUGAUGACAUGGCUGCCCCGUGAACGCCUGGUAGGUCCACUUGAGGCGCGGUUGCCGGCAGCGACAAUCAACAUGCACGUCCUCGAUGCAGUGGAUUAGAUCUGGGAGACAUGAAUAUUUGAGAUCAAGCGAGAGGGGCUGGACAAGAGGAGGUCAAUGAGUACGCACCAUGAGCGAGGUACCUUUGACGCUGAUGCAGGUGCACGUUCGAUCUGCGUUCGCAACCGUCGUAGCCAUGAACCGCAUACUUAGCUCUUGCUACACCAAUCGGGAGAACAGGAGAGGACAGCAGGGCAACAAACUUGUUGCUCGCUCCUGCAGGAGGUAGGGAUGUGGAAGGGGAUGAAUGAGUCGUUGAUUGGGGCGAUGGAAGAGUGGUAGGGGCGGCGGCGCGAUGGAGGAGAGAAAGGAAGAGUGCGGCGGCGGGAUGGAGGAGGAUGUGGAUGUGCCUAGGGUUAGGGAUCGAAAAGAUAAUGGAUAAUGGGUUUGCUUAUUGGGCUUUUCCUCCAGAACGCGAAGUGAAAAUAUUAUGCCAAGAUUGGAGGUAAAAAGUGCGGGCGUUC
Molecule: long non-coding RNA, 4859 nt
Filed under: Hordeum vulgare
Lineage: Eukaryota; Viridiplantae; Streptophyta; Magnoliopsida; Poales; Poaceae
Description: long non-coding RNA (HVUL_LNC020089)
Source: RNAcentral